UCGAACAUUUUUAUGUAAAUUAUUAAUAAGUAAUAGCAUGGUUUCUCGUGAAAUUUGGAUAAACAUGCACUCGUGAGUUUUUUCAAAGACCUCAAAUACCACUCGUCCUUCGGACUCGUGCUAUUUUGAGGUCUUUGAAAAACUCACUCGUGCAUGUUAUCCAAAUUGCACUCGAAACCAUGCUAUUACCUAUACUAACAACAUUGUUUGGUAUAGGAUACACAAUAUAGGACUAACGCGAUGAAGGAAGGCAAAAAUGUGUCGUUAGUUUGGUUGCAAACUACAGUACAAAUAUGAUAUAGUACAAACGGACACCUCCUGUUAGCGGACACUAUGACUUGGUCCUGAGGAUGUCCGCGUAGGGGAGAUGCGAGUGUUUAUCUCCAUUUUACUUGCGAGCUAGGGCAACAACAUCAUCUUCCUGAGGUUUCAGUCAUCAUUUUGAGAAAAUCUUUAAAGUUCACCCUUCCAUCUUGAUCAAAAUCAGCUUGAAGCAACAUAUCCUGUAUUUCGUGCUCACUAAAUGUUUGUUCUAAUGUCAUAAAUACAUGCCUUAAAUCAUUCAUGGAGAUAUGGCCUUUCUGUGUCCGGUCAAACACGCUAAAUGUCUGUCGUGCCAACUCUUCCUCUGAAAGCACGUGGAGUUUCUUAGUAGU
Non-coding RNA from Paramuricea clavata, 656 nucleotides. Lineage: Eukaryota; Metazoa; Cnidaria; Anthozoa; Malacalcyonacea; Plexauridae. The record is from the annotation of a GenBank genome assembly.